RNAcentral lists this transfer RNA (74 nucleotides) under Enterobacteriaceae endosymbiont of Plateumaris rustica. Its description in RNAcentral is "tRNA-Arg". It matches the Rfam family "tRNA". From Rfam's summary of the family: Transfer RNA (tRNA) molecules are approximately 80 nucleotides in length. Their secondary structure includes four short double-helical elements and three loops (D, anti-codon, and T loops). Lineage: Bacteria; Pseudomonadati; Pseudomonadota; Gammaproteobacteria; Enterobacterales; Enterobacteriaceae. The record is from RNAcentral.
GCACCCGUAGCUCAGUAGGAUAGAGUGCUGUUUUCCGAAAGCAGAGGGUUCAGGUUCAAUUCCUGUCGGGUGCA